AUAUUUUAAUAUGUUUUUAGCUGUUAAUUAACUACUCUUAUAUUUUAAUUGUUUCAAGUUUGACCAGCCACUUGCAUCCACGCUCAAUAAUUGAUGUUUGUUCCUCCAUCCCCCACAAAAAAAAAGAAAAGAAAAAAAAAACAGGAUAUGAAUAUUACUUUUGAUCGUAAUCAUUCUACACAAAACAAUAAUUUCCAAUUUGAAUUAAUAUUAACUGGAUUUGUAUUCAUUGUUUGUACACAUCCCCUAGAAACUAAAUUAACUUCAUGUCAUUGUCCGUCACUAUAUAUAGAGUAUUAAAUAGUGGUAGCGGUAGUAUAAUUGGUUUGUUUGGAGUGGGAGACCUGAAAAGCAUCUUUCUGUACAAUCAUUUGAUUUUAUAGGAGAAAGUCAAAUCAAAAUUGGCUGCUAAUUGCUGCCAGAAAUAAGUUUGAGCAGAGUUUGUUAUGAAUGGGCCUGAACCAGUAUUUGUAAAUGGGCUGGUGGAAUGGGAUCCAGGGUGAUAAAUAGUGCCUUGUGGGAGCAAUUGGGGUUAUGCGAACCUCUCAUCUCAAGAAAUCUAAGCUUGUCAUCCCCAUUCUUUGUUUACUGUUUCAUUUCUUAGUUUUCCAAUUGUAAUUUCCUAUUUCAGUUUGUUAAAUACAAUCAUCUUCCCUAUUGUUGAGUAUUUGUAGUAGUGUUUACUACAGAAUAAAGUAUAUUUUAGUUUAGUUUCUUCUUUUUGGAUUAAGUAAAACUAUAACAUCAAAUGCCGAUUGACAUUAGCAACUACAGCAUUAUUCAUUGUUCGUACACAUUCCCCAGAAAAUUUAAAAUUCAUUUGGAUGGCCAAGGAACUCCCUAUUUUAUGGCCCCGUUGAGUAUUAAAUAGGAGUAGUAAAAUUGGUUUGGAAGCAUCUUUCUAUAUAAUCAUUUGACUUUGUAUUAUUCCAUCAGAAUAAUGAUCAGACAUUUUACAUUGUGCCUCACAUAACAAACACAAUGUGUUCUUCUAAUUUUUUUCUCCAUUUGCUGUUCUCAGUGUCAUUUGCCUUUUGUGUUUUCUGUCAUUUUUAUUCAUCCUCUGCCUUUACGAACGCCCAUAUGCUGCCUCCGAUUUUUUUUUUUUGUUUGUUUUUUUUGUUUUCCUUCUUUAGACUAUCAAUGCAUAUAAACGCUAUUAGUUUUGGUUUUUGGUUCUUGCCUUCGCUCUGCAACUCUUGCUGAUGAGUUUGAACUUCUUUUUUCUUUUGACCUUCUUCUUGGCCUAUCUUGAUUCAUGGAUGUGCAUGGUGUUAUGGCUGUCCUUUUUUUUGUGAAUAUCCUUAUACAAAGUGCCAGGUGUUUGGAAAAAAUGUCACUGUAAAAAAUUCAGACCUUGUUCGCACUGUUGAGGACUGGAAAUCUAAGUUUUAUAUACCUUUAAGUUCUUCUGAUUUUCACUUUCAAGUUACUUUAGUAUCCUCACAACACACAGAAUAUAGUAUAGAUGUAAUUGAUAAAGAAUUAAUUGUGAAUGUAAAAAAAAGUUUCGAUAUAUUACCUUGAUACGUCGACCCUUUCACAUCACAAAAUGCUACGACAGGUUUUGUAUCUAUCAGUUUUUGUAGUAUUUCCCCAUCUUUUUCGGCUAGCUCACCCCACAAGGUCACAGUUCUACGAUCAUACCUAAAAAUAUCAAUUAGAUUAUGUAUUAGUUGCAGGAAAUGAGCAGACAUUCUUAUAUGCUUGGAGCUACAAAAACACAAUCACUAAUAGUAGUUGGUUAUUUCUUUCAAACUGGUUUAUAUGCUUGGAGCUACAAAAACACAAUCACUAAUAGGAUACUUAAAGACUAGUAUCAAUUGGAUUAUGUAUUAAUUGCAGGAAAUAAGCAAACAUUCUUAUAUGGUUGGAGCUACAAAAACACAAUCACUAAUAGUAGUUGGUUAUUUCUUUCAAACUGGUUUAUAUGCUUGGAGGUACAAAAACACAAUCGCUAAUAGGAUACUUAAAGAGUCUCUGAGUCCUAAGUUUUAGCAGAGAGAUCCAAGGCUUGUAUUGCUGAUUCAGCUUGUGGUUAGCACUUAGCAACUUGUUUUGCUGAUUCAGCUAUGAAGUGCUAAGCACGGGCCCAACGUGUAUUUUUCCGAUGUGCUUAGCACGGGUGAUUCACCACUAGUGCUAAGCAAAUUUGCAAAUCUUUCUUUAUCUAUGGUGGGUUUUAACGAGCAACAGUGAAUGCAGUCUAGAAAAUUAGAUUCUUUUACAUCUGCUUAUAAUGGUUAUUAGUUUUCAAAUCAAAUUAUUCUUUCUAGAAAUAUGAUGCUCUUUCUUUAUUAAAUUUUGUUGACAUUUUAUUUUUUGAUUUGUAGGGAGUUUUUUUACUUGAGAAUGUGGGUCUUCCAUGAAGGAUUAGAUAAGAUUGUAAUGAUUAGAGAUGUUUAAGCCCUUCCUGGGAUGAAGACAGAUUUCGUUUUACUCCACUUCUUUGGUUCAGAAUAAGCUCCCUAUACCCACAACUUUGUUAGAAACUGGGAAUUAAAAUCGACAUGCUUUUUGUUAGGAAUCUUGAAUUUUUUUAUUUUUUUUUUGGGGAUUCUUGAGUGAUAAAUGACCCUGUGUCGUCUGUCCUAUCUCCUUCAUAAACAAUAUAAGUACUUUUCUAUGAAAGAAAAUGGAAGUAGACGAGGUUUUUUAUUUAAUUUGGUCACGAUCUCGCCUGUGAAGAUACAUCUUGAACUUCUUUGCUAGGUUUUCCCAAUACACCUCAAAAAUACUAAUAAGUAUUGAAUGCAAUUGAUUUUUUUGCCAGAGUAGUGUUUUACUCAUUUGAGUUAAUAAAUGGGAAGGACGAAGACAAUGAAUCAUAAUGUUCCAAGAAAAUUAGCUCUCGCAAGAAUUGCUUAUUUUGGUUUGUAUAAUUUUCAUUAAAUUUCAUUUGUUUGUUUUGAAUCUUCUGGCUGCAUUGUAUGGAUGAUUGUUUGGUUUCUCAUUUUUGCUCGAGUAGGUAUGAAUGAUUUUGUCAGCACCAUAUUGAAUUUUGAAUUUUCUGCUUGCUUUAUUUCAGCUUUCAGUCCGUGUUGUUAUUGGUAAGUGUCGCUCUUUUGCUGCCUUUAGUUAGCUUCUUUGCAUUGAAAUGUUGAGUUUCCAAAGUAUAUAGUGCUCUUUUUGCUGGUAGUACAUCAAGAUGUGUUUGAUCAUCUUGGAUAUGCUUAUCUCUCUAUUUUUUUUAUUUUUGUAUAGAAAUUGUAUGUUUUAUGUUUAUUGGCGUUGUUUCUACCGGUGAUAUGUCCCAAAAACAGGCAUGCUGAUUUCCACAUUAUACUCGCUCUUCUAAUAUAGUAAAAAAAAAAUUGUAUGUAUUAUGUUUAUUAGAGUUGUUUCUACCUUUGACAUGUUCCCAUAAAUUGAGCUUGUAUCACUGUAUGACCAUACUAAAUAGUACUACUUAUUAAACUUGUGAAGACAUGUUUUUACUUUUCCUGAUGAGGGAAGUGGAUAAAUUAGUUUUCUAUGAAUAGUUUCUGCCUUUCUGCAAAGCUGAAUUCUGUGUUAACAUAAAUGAGUAAUCUGACAAAGAUUGAAUAUAGGCUUUCAAUAGAAUACAUAUGAUAGCUUUCUUCAUUUAAUGCAGUGUUUCUUUCUGCCAAUUCCAUUUGUUUCCUCCUUUUUUUUUUUUAUACUUCAAGUUAGGCUCUUUAGUUUAAAGAUAAUGUGGAAUACUGCUGGUAUAUAUUAGAAUAGUGGCCAUAUUUUCACUGCAUGUUUGAGUAUUUACAUAUGCUAUAUUAGAGCAAUAGAUGACUAUUUCCUCUAUUUUUCUUACUUCAAGCUAGGCUUUUUAGUUUAAAGAUAAUGUGGAAUACUGCUGGUUUAGAAAGAAUAGUGGCCAUAUUUUCACUGCAUGUUUUGAGUAUUUACAUAUGCUAUAUUAGAGCUCUAGAUGACUAUUCUCUAAUUUGAGUUUCUUCUUUCAAGGAAGAAGUACAUGUUUUUCUUGAAAGGGUCUGAACUGAGGGAAAAAUUACAAAAAAUAUGUAUAUUGCCAAGAGGCAAAGUUCAGCAUACGAUAGCUUAUGUUUAGUCCAGAUUUAUUUAUGUGAUAAACGAGAGAAAUAGAAGGUGCUUUGAAGGUAGAACAACUCCAGUUAACAUUACAACUCCAGUUAACAUCUGAAAUAUAUCCUCUAUUUGGUGUAAAUCUUGGAAUACGAAUAACAUAGAUCAAACUCUAGAUUUCAGUAGCUUUCUCAACGGCUAUAAGCAUCAGUAUGCUUUAGCUUGAGUUGUCUAUCUAUGUGCGAUUAUUUUGUUUAAAGAUCAAAGUGAUUGAAACAACAGAAAGUUAUUUUUGUUGGUGGAUUAAGUGUCUAUAGUCUUUUGAGAGUUGAAACUUCAAAAUUGAGUUUUUUGUUUGUUAAUCUUAGGUUUAGUAAACCUUUGUUUCACAAUUUAUUUUUGGUUGGAUUGGAUGUUUCUUCAACUAAGUGAUUGUACUUGGAGCCUUAAGAUCUCUGUUAAUAAGCAUUUUAUGUUUGUUCUCGCUAACAGUGUUCUGAAUAUGAGUCUGAAUUUGGGAAUGGGGUUCGACUACCAGAGGAUGUUACGAGAUGCAUUCCUGUAUUGAAGAGCACUAGAGAGGAGUUUUCAUAGUGUUGUCAUGACUAAUAAUGGUGAAGCAGUUGGUGGGUGGAACAAAUAGGGGCAAUUUAGUAUUUAAUACUACAUACAUUGUAAGCCCUGAUUUUUCAUCUGUAAACCUUGAAUGCUGGCUCUACGGAAACAUUCUUUGAUGCUGAUGAAACAAUUCUUCAAGGAUAAAACCUCUGGUGUAACUAGCCAAACAACAUAGUCAAGGCAAACUUGCUCAAUAUUGAACACGAGGUAUAUUCAAAUUUAUGAAGGAGCACUUCUUCCUGGAGAAAUAGUAGCAGCCAGUACUGCAAUGCAAUAUGUUCGCUCAGCAUCAGUAAGAUGAAAUACAUUUUUGUGCUCAUUUCCUCAUAUAUCCUUCCCUUUAGUAUUUCUUGAAAUAAUUUAUCCUUGUAAAUGUGAAGAUUAGAAAAUAUCUUGUCUAAUUUACUUGAUCGACGUUUCUAUUAGGUAUGGUUCUUGCCUUUUACCAUCAUAAAUGUUCAACGCAGCUCUGCUGGCCAUGAUUAAGCUAUAUUGGGGCGGCCGCUUUUUUUCUUUAUCUGCAUACUUGUCUUUCUGGAAAGGAGAAGGCAGCAAAACACAUAGAAAAUGUGUUUUCAUCCUAAAUAUGAUUAUCCAGCACAAAGAACUAGUUGACGACAACGAAUUUCGAAUACUUGCAUCAUUGAUUUGGGAUUUUUUUUGGGUAUUUAUAACUUCUUAUUGUACAUUCUAUUGUACAAACGUACUUUGAUGUUCAAAAAAUAAAGAGUUCGAGAAGAUCUUUGAUAAUUUCAUAAAGUUUUGCUUUC
Molecule: long non-coding RNA, 5408 nt
Organism: Lycium ferocissimum
Lineage: Eukaryota; Viridiplantae; Streptophyta; Magnoliopsida; Solanales; Solanaceae
Exons: 2
Source: RefSeq, a predicted model, not a curated record